CUAAGGCUCCAGAGGAAGCCACGGCUAACUCUGUGCCAGCAGCCGCGGUAAUACAGAGGCGGCAAGCGUUGUUCGGAAUUAUUGGGCGUAAAGAGCACGUAGGCGGCCUUGCAAGUCAGUUGUGAAAGCCUUCCGCUUAACGGAUGAAUGCCAGCUGAUACUACAGGGCUUGAGUACGGGAGGGGAGAGUGGAACUUCUGGUGGAGCGGUGAAAUGCGUAGAUAUCAGAAGGAACGCCGGCGGCGAAAGCGACUCUCUGGCCCGAAACUGACGCUGAGUGUGCGAAAGCUAGGGGAGCAAACGGGAUUAGAUACCCCGGUAGUCCUAGCCGUAAA
RNAcentral lists this ribosomal RNA (335 nucleotides) under uncultured Planctomycetales bacterium. RNAcentral's name for it is "bacterial SSU rRNA". It matches the Rfam family "Bacterial small subunit ribosomal RNA", at positions 473 to 806 of the family's 1533-position model. The record is from RNAcentral. Lineage: Bacteria; Pseudomonadati; Planctomycetota; Planctomycetia; Planctomycetales.